RNAcentral lists this long non-coding RNA (859 nucleotides) under Sus scrofa (pig). Its description in RNAcentral is "lncRNA (ENSSSCG00035014231.1, ENSSSCG00065053182.1)". Lineage: Eukaryota; Metazoa; Chordata; Mammalia; Artiodactyla; Suidae. The record is from RNAcentral.
CUCUGCUUUGCCCUCCUCAGACUGGCUACUGUGCUUUACUCUAAGGCUUUGAGGUUCCCCCCCUGUCCCAGCUGAUCUCCCUACCAGCCGGGGGCUUCUAGGGUGCAGAUUCCUUUCCUCUUUAACAGCUCCUUCCCAGGAGUGCUGGUCCUGUCCUGUUUCCUCUCUUUUUUUCCUUUUGUCCUACCCAAUUAUGUGGAGAUUGUCUUGCCUUUUUGGAAGUCUGAGGUCUUCUGCCAGCCUUCAGUAGAUGUUCUGUGAGAAUCAUUCUAUAGGUAGAUGUGGGGGUUUGGGGUAUAUUUGUGGGAGAGGGUGAGCUCCACAUCCUGCUCCUUCAACCAUCUUGAUUCCACUCCCUCAAUAUAAUUCUUAGUAGUUCCAUAUAGUGUAUUGUGAGGAUGUUCCAUUCAUUGUUAAUUAUCCCUAAUUUCUUGGGUGUUUGGUUUCUUUCUCAGUUUGUCUUCCUUUCACUGACAAGUAAGACCAAUCAUCUUUUUUCUCGUAUGACUAUUUUUUUUUUUUUUUUUUUUUUGCAGAAGAUGGCACUGUUUCCUAGAAAAGUGAGUGAAGUUACCCUUGACCAAUUAAGGAAGGAGAAAAGACCCUUCCAGAUGAUGAAGCAAGUUACCCCUGGAGUGCGCCCUCUGCAGCCUCACCUGGUCUGUCCAGCCAUAUCUUCUUAUACUUUCUGCGAAAUAUUCUACCAUCUAACUGGAGAUGCUGAGUGAGGGCUGCCAAGAAGGUUUUCAAAUCAAUAUCUGAACUUCCACCUUGAGAAACCGGGAGAAGGACAAAUUAACUCAAGACAAUCAGAAUAAGGAAAAAUAAAGAUUAAAAAGCAAAGAUAAAUAAAACUGGU